Long non-coding RNA from Esox lucius (northern pike), 1365 nucleotides. The record is from Ensembl. NCBI's taxonomy places the organism in Eukaryota, Metazoa, Chordata, Actinopteri, Esociformes, Esocidae.
GUUAAAACGUGUGCUCGUCACCCAGUGUGCUCUAAAAUAGGAUACUGUCUCUAGGGAGAACAGGGCAACUGUGCUGGCUACUGCUAGUUUAAAACAAAGCCAAAUAUUAGUACUGUCUCCCCUAGACCCUAGCCCCGGAGCGUCUAACUUUCAAACCUGCCAAUUCCUACAGGUGUGUCACGUCUCCAUUCGCCGCAGAGUCGACUGACGCUAGUGCACUAAGACCCUCCGUCCACAAGGAGGCGCCGUUCCCAUUCCUGAGAAAAGAAAAAAGGAUAAAUCUUGCCUUCUAUGGUCAUAUAUUUGAGCUUGACAUUAAGACCGCUAACCAAUCACAUCACAUCACAGGUUAUGGGCAAUGCAGUUUUUAAAAGCACGGUUUUCACACCUGCAAAGACGCUUGCAAAUGUCGGCCAAUAACAAAUUGACUCCAAAUCCUGCUUGCAGAUUGGCCUUGGGGGGGCAGUGUCAUUGGCCUACAACAUACGGGUUUGGGGGGUUAGUCAGCGAAUGUAUUUGGCUGAGGUGGAGGGCCAGAAAAUGCGUUCCUUCUGGCGCGUUAGAGUUCCAGUAUAGACUUCCUGGUUUGGUCAGCAGUGGGACUAGAACCAGAAGGGUCUGAUGUCAGGACACUGGAGGAGCUGCGAUUAAGCAUUGGGGAGAGAAAUAGUGUAAAAGUAAAAAAACUAAAAUGUCUUAAUGUCUUUAAAAGCUGCAGUGCCAAUUACCUGUCAUGGGACUGAAUUCUGGCUUAAUAUCCAGAGAGGGCUAUUACAAAAAAAAUGUGGGAAAACCUGAAUGAAUGCAUUUCAUAUUCCAGUCAGUCUUCUGGAUAUAAGAGUCUUUUUUACAAUGUGUGGCAUGUUAACAGUGUUAUGUAUCUAUUGCUACUGUACUGAUUUACUGUAGAUACCUACUUGGAGCACAGCAUGGUGAGGGUCUGGGAUCUCUCUGACUCCUCAGGGUCAUGCUGAGGUCACAUGUUAAGGGUCAGAGGUCAGGUGGGGUGGAGAGAGAGCGAGAGAGACAGGGUGAGGGGGAAUUGCCAGGAGUGGAAAAGAACCCGAGGACAAAUUGCGUGACAGGGAUGUAUGCGUGUGUGUGCCUGUGUCUAUGUGUGUCUUGCCGACGGUUUGGCUCCACCCAUGGUUGCUGCUCCGCCCUCUCAUUACCCUCCCAUGGUGCCGUUCCUAUGACAACUUUCACUUCCUGUCCCUAGGUGGUGAACAGUGGGGUUGUCAUACCAACCUACACUUCCUGGUUACUAAUCAGAGGGGUAGGCGCUGAGUGAUUUGAGAUCCUGAACUGAAGGUGCACUGCCAUGAUGAUGUAUGGAAACACAUAACCUGUUUGUUAGGGAACAAC